Molecule: long non-coding RNA, 306 nt
Filed under: Rattus norvegicus (Norway rat)
Lineage: Eukaryota; Metazoa; Chordata; Mammalia; Rodentia; Muridae
Description: long non-coding RNA NONRATT001206
Source: RNAcentral
AAGAUGGAAGGACAGAAGGGAAAGCCAGUCUCCUUCCGAAUGUGGUUUCCCAGAGAAGCAGGAGCAGGUCUCUCAUCUUUUGCCUGCGGGUCCCUAGGUCACUGCGGAUCUCUAAGCCACACCCACGGACACCCAGGGAGGGCCAGAGGUGCUGCAUGAGGGGCCGCAGGGGCGAUCGCAUGACCAUCAACAUCCAGGAGCACAUGGCCAUCAACGUGUGCCCUGGACCCAUCAGGCCCAUCCGCCAGAUCUCCGACUACUUCCCUCGCAGGGGGCCAGGACCAGAGGGUGGCGGCGGCGGCAGGG